AAGUCGUAACAAGGUUUCCGUAGGUGAACCUGCGGAAGGAUCAUUAACACUUAUUAUUAUCCAAUAUCAACAAAUAAAACCAAACGGUCACUUAUCUCCUCCCUAUUUCGAUCACCGGAGACGGUUCGAUUAGGCUAACAUUUUUUAAAACAUUUUUAACCCCAUUCAAUGCUAUAUUUAUAGCGCAAGCUAUUAAUAUAACAACCAACUCUUCGAUUUGUGCAAAACUUCUGUUUUGAACAAAACGAACUAAACUAAAAUAUACAUUCGAUAUAUUUUUAUUUUACGAAAUAAUAUAUAUUUAUAAGAACAACUCUUAGCAAUGGAUAUCUUGGUUCUC
This 340-nucleotide unclassified non-coding RNA is filed under the name fungal sp. RNAcentral's name for it is "partial internal transcribed spacer region". The stretch from base 1 to 46 matches the Rfam family "Eukaryotic small subunit ribosomal RNA", at positions 1786 to 1831 of the family's 1831-position model. The record is from RNAcentral. Lineage: Eukaryota; Fungi.